CGAGUCUUAACUGGGCGUUAAGUUGCAGGGUAUAGACCCGAAACCCGGUGAUCUAGCCAUGGGCAGGUUGAAGGUUGGGUAACACUAACUGGAGGACCGAACCGACUAAUGUUGAAAAAUUAGCGGAUGACUUGUGGCUGGGGGUGAAAGGCCAAUCAAACCGGGAGAUAGCUGGUUCUCCCCGAAAGCUAUUUAGGUAGCGCCUCGUGAACUCAUCUUCGGGGGUAGAGCACUGUUUCGGCUAGGGGGUCAUCCCGACUUACCAACCCGAUGCAAACUACGAAUACCGAAGAAUGUUAUCACGGGAGACACACGGCGGGUGCUAACGUCCGUCGUGAAGAGGGAAACAACCCAGACCGCCAGCUAAGGUCCCAAAGUCAUGGUUAAGUGGGAAACGAUGUGGGAAGGCCCAGACAGCCAGGAUGUUGGCUUAGAAGCAGCCAUCAUUUAAAGAAAGCGUAAUAGCUCACUGGUCGAGUCGGCCUGCGCGGAAGAUGUAACGGGGCUAAACCAUG
Molecule: ribosomal RNA, 515 nt
Filed under: Klebsiella oxytoca
Lineage: Bacteria; Pseudomonadati; Pseudomonadota; Gammaproteobacteria; Enterobacterales; Enterobacteriaceae
Description: partial 23S ribosomal RNA
Rfam family: Bacterial large subunit ribosomal RNA
Source: RNAcentral